Molecule: ribosomal RNA, 519 nt
Filed under: uncultured Glomus
Lineage: Eukaryota; Fungi; Glomeromycota; Glomeromycetes; Glomerales; Glomeraceae
Description: SSU rRNA
Rfam family: Eukaryotic small subunit ribosomal RNA
Source: RNAcentral
AGCAGCCGCGGUAAUUCCAGCUCCAAUAGCGUAUAUUAAAGUUGUUGCAGUUAAAAAGCUCGUAGUUGAAUUUCGGGAUCAAUAUAACGGUCAUGCCGUUGGUAUGCACUGUUAUAAUUGAUUUCUCACCUUCUAAAGAACCGUAAUGCCAUUAAUUUGGUGUCACGGGGAAUUAGGACUGUUACCUUGAAAAAAUUAGAGUGUUUAAAGCAGGCUCACGCUUGAAUACAUUAGCAUGGAAUAAUGAAAUAGGACAUCCGAUUCUAUUUUGUUGGUUUCUAGGAUCGAUGUAAUGAUUAAUAGGGAUAGUUGGGGGCAUUAGUAUUCAAUUGUCAGAGGUGAAAUUCUUGGAUUUAUUAAAGACUAACUACUGCGAAAGCAUUUGCCAAGGAUGUUUUCAUUAAUCAAGAACGAAAGUUAGGGGAUCGAAGACGAUCAGAUACCGUCGUAGUCUUAACCAUAAACUAUGCCGACUAGGGAUCGGAUGAUGUUAAUUUUUAAUGACUCAUUCGGCGUCCG